This 373-nucleotide ribosomal RNA is filed under the name uncultured prokaryote. RNAcentral's name for it is "bacterial SSU rRNA". It matches the Rfam family "Bacterial small subunit ribosomal RNA", at positions 524 to 896 of the family's 1533-position model. The record is from RNAcentral.
UACGUAGGGUCCGAGCGUUAAUCGGAAUUACUGGGCGUAAAGCGUGCGCAGGCGGUUUUGUAAGCCAGUCGUGAAAUCCCCGGGCUUAACCUGGGAAUGGCGAUUGGGACUGCAAGGCUCGAGUGCGGCAGAGGGGGGUGGAAUUCCACGUGUAGCAGUGAAAUGCGUAGAUAUGUGGAGGAACAUCAAUGGCGAAGGCAGCCCCCUGGGUCGACACUGACGCUCAUGCACGAAAGCGUGGGGAGCAAACAGGAUUAGAUACCCUGGUAGUCCACGCCCUAAACUAUGUCAACUAGUUGUUGGAGGAUGAACUCCUUUAGUAACGCAGCUAACGCGUGAAGUUGACCGCCUGGGGAGUACGGUCGCAAGAUUA